RNAcentral lists this ribosomal RNA (498 nucleotides) under uncultured bacterium. RNAcentral describes it as "partial 16S ribosomal RNA". It matches the Rfam family "Bacterial small subunit ribosomal RNA", at positions 30 to 523 of the family's 1533-position model. The record is from RNAcentral.
AUUGAACGCUGGCGGCAUGCCUUACACAUGCAAGUCGAACGGUAACAGGUCUUCGGAUGCUGACGAGUGGCGAACGGGUGAGUAAUACAUCGGAACGUGCCUAGUGGUGGGGGAUAACUACUCGAAAGAGUGGCUAAUACCGCAUGAGAUCUACGGAUGAAAGCAGGGGAUCGCAAGACCUUGUGCUACUAGAGCGGCCGAUGGCAGAUUAGGUAGUUGGUGGGAUAAAAGCUUACCAAGCCGACGAUCUGUAGCUGGUCGGGGAGGACGAUCAGCCACACUGGGACUGAGACACGGCCCAGACUCCUACGGGAGGCAGCAGUGGGGAAUUUUGGACAAUGGGCGAAAGCCUGAUCCAGCAAUGCCGCGUGCAGGAUGAAGGCCUUCGGGUUGUAAACUGCUUUUGUACGGAACGAAAAGCCCCGGGUUAAUACCCUGGGGUCAUGACGGUACCGUAAGAAUAAGCACCGGCUAACUACGUGCCAGCAGCCGCCGUAA